Molecule: transfer RNA, 82 nt
Filed under: Ignavibacteria bacterium
Lineage: Bacteria; Pseudomonadati; Ignavibacteriota; Ignavibacteria
Also listed under: 3 other names
Description: tRNA-Tyr
Rfam family: tRNA
About the family: Transfer RNA (tRNA) molecules are approximately 80 nucleotides in length.
Source: RNAcentral
GGGCAGGUACUCAAGUGGCCAACGAGGGCAGACUGUAAAUCUGCUAGCAUCGCUUUCGGAGGUUCGAAUCCUUCCCUGCCCA